Molecule: ribosomal RNA, 1435 nt
Filed under: uncultured organism
Description: SSU rRNA
Rfam family: Bacterial small subunit ribosomal RNA
Source: RNAcentral
GCUAGCUACAGGCUUAACACAUGCAAGUCGAGGGGCAGCAUGGUCUUAGCUUGCUAAGGCCGAUGGCGACCAGCGCACGGGUGAGUAACGCGCAUCCAACCUGCCUUACACUCUUGGACAGCCUUCUGAAAGGGAGAUUAAUACAAGAUGUUAUCAUGAGUAAGCAUUUUCGCAUGAUUAAAGGUUUACCGGUGUAAGAUGGGGAUGCGUUCCAUUAGAUAGUAGGCGGGGUAACGGCCCACCUAGUCUUCGAUGGAUAGGGGUUCUGAGAGGAAGGUCCCCCACAUUGGAACUGAGACACGGUCCAAACUCCUACGGGAGGCAGCAGUGAGGAAUAUUGGUCAAUGGACGAGAGUCUGAACCAGCCAAGUAGCGUGAAGGAUGAAGGUUCUAUGGAUUGUAAACUUCUUUUAUACGGGAAUAAACGAAUCCACGUGUGGAUUUUUGCAUGUACCGUAUGAAUAAGGAUCGGCUAACUCCGUGCCAGCAGCCGCGGUAAUACGGAGGAUCCGAGCGUUAUCCGGAUUUAUUGGGUUUAAAGGGAGCGUAGAUGGGUUGUUAAGUCAGUUGUGAAAGUUUGCGGCUCAACCGUAAAAUUGCAAUUGAUACUGGCAGUCCUGAGUACAGUUGAGGUAGGCGGAAUUCGUGGUGUAGCGGUGAAAUGCUUAGAUAUCACGAAGAACUCCGAUUGCGAAGGCAGCUUACUAACCUGUAACUGACAUUGAUGCUCGAAAGUGUGGGUAUCAAACAGGAUUAGAUACCCUGGUAGUCCACACGGUAAACGAUGAAUACUCGCUGUAGGCGAUAUACAGUCUGCGGCCAAGCGAAAGCAUUAAGUAUUCCACCUGGGGAGUACGCCGGCAACGGUGAAACUCAAAGGAAUUGACGGGGGCCCGCACAAGCGGAGGAACAUGUGGUUUAAUUCGAUGAUACGCGAGGAACCUUACCCGGGCUUAAAUUGCAACCGAAUAUGGCGGAAACGCUAUAGCUAGCAAUAGCGGUUGUGAAGGUGCUGCAUGGUUGUCGUCAGCUCGUGCCGUGAGGUGUCGGCUUAAGUGCCAUAACGAGCGCAACCCUUGCCGAUAGUUACUAACAGGUCAUGCUGAGGACUCUGUCGGGACUGCCAUCGUAAGAUGUGAGGAAGGUGGGGAUGACGUCAAAUCAGCACGGCCCUUACGUCCGGGGCUACACACGUGUUACAAUGGGGGGUACAGAGGGCUGCUACCACGCAAGUGGAUGCCAAUCCCAAAAACCUCUCUCAGUUCGGAUUGAAGUCUGCAACCCGACUUCAUGAAGCUGGAUUCGCUAGUAAUCGCGCAUCAGCCACGGCGCGGUGAAUACGUUCCCGGGCCUUGUACACACCGCCCGUCAAGCCAUGGGAGCCGGGGGUACCUGAAGUGCGUAACCGCAAGGAGCGCCCUAGGGUAAAACUGGU